GGGUGUAUAGCUCCAAUGGUAGAGCAUCUGAUUCCAAAUCAGAGGGUUGUAGGUUCGAAUCCUGCUGCGCCCGCCA
RNAcentral lists this transfer RNA (76 nucleotides) under Oligoflexia bacterium. RNAcentral's name for it is "tRNA-Trp". It matches the Rfam family "tRNA". From Rfam's summary of the family: Transfer RNA (tRNA) molecules are approximately 80 nucleotides in length. Lineage: Bacteria; Pseudomonadati; Bdellovibrionota; Oligoflexia. The record is from RNAcentral.